AGUGAACGCUGGCGGUAGGCCUAACACAUGCAAGUCGAACGGCAGCACAGUAAGAGCUUGCUCUUACGGGUGGCGAGUGGCGGACGGGUGAGGAAUACAUCGGAAUCUACUUUUUCGUGGGGGAUAACGUAGGGAAACUUACGCUAAUACCGCAUACGACCUACGGGUGAAAGCAGGGGAUCUUCGGACCUUGCGCGAUUGAAUGAGCCGAUGUCGGAUUAGCUAGUUGGCGGGGUAAAGGCCCACCAAGGCGACGAUCCGUAGCUGGUCUGAGAGGAUGAUCAGCCACACUGGAACUGAGACACGGUCCAGACUCCUACGGGAGGCAGCAGUGGGGAAUAUUGGACAAUGGGCGCAAGCCUGAUCCAGCCAUACCGCGUGGGUGAAGAAGGCCUUCGGGUUGUAAAGCCCUUUUGUUGGGAAAGAAAAGCGGCAGGUUAAUACCCCGCUGUUCUGACGGUACCCAAAGAAUAAGCACCGACUAACUUCGUG
This 492-nucleotide ribosomal RNA is filed under the name uncultured bacterium. Its description in RNAcentral is "partial 16S ribosomal RNA". It matches the Rfam family "Bacterial small subunit ribosomal RNA", at positions 29 to 507 of the family's 1533-position model. The record is from RNAcentral.